AGUGCUUGUGUUCCUGAGUGUAGGUUCUGAGCUAUUAGGUUACUACAGACUACAGAGAUACAACGUGAAAUCUCCACCUCUUUAUGGUGAGGGUCUCUCCCGUAUGUACCCUCAGCCCACAGGAGAGAGAGGUACAUGGGAUGGCACAUGUGGCACAACUGGACUCCUUUGGGCUUCAGUGAUCCAACCUCUCAUCACAGUGGACAUUGGCUGAGCACAUCUGAUGUCCUCAUUAUCCAAGUUGGCCUGGGGAGGAAUUGCUGCCUAAGGAUGCCAGUGGAAACAUUAUUUUUGAUACUGUGGAUCUUCGUGACACAUGGGAGGCCCUGGAGAAGUGCAAAGAAGCAGGUUUAACCAAGUCCAUCGGGGUGUCCAAUUUCAAUCACAAACUGCUGGAACUCAUCCUCAACAAGCCAGGGCUCAAGUACAAGCCCACCUGCAACCAGCAGGUGGAAUGUCACCCUUACCUCAACUAGAGCAAACUCCUGGAGUUCUGCAAGUCCAAGGACAUUGUUCUAGUUGCCUACAGGGCCCUGGCAUCUCACAGAGACCCAAACUGGGAUGGACCCAGAUAGCCCAUAUCUCUUAGAGGAGCCAACCUUGAAAUCCAUUGCCAAGAAAUACAAUAGAAGCCCAGGCCAGGUUGCCCUGUGCUAUGAGCUGCAGCGGGGGGGUGGUGGUCCUGGCCAAGAGCUUCUCUGAGAAGAGAAUCAAAGAGAACUUCCAGGUUUUUGACUUUGAGUUGACUCCAGAGGACAUGAAAGCCACUGAUGGCCUCAACAGAAAUUUCCGAUAUGCUAAGUUACAAUUGUAAGUCAUGCUUGCAGAUUCUUUCACAGGCUGUUUUCUGUAAUAUGCAGGCAAACAGAGGAAUACAUCUUCCCUAAAUCAGGAAGGCAGGCCAGAUUUCAGGAAUAGGUAUGAAACAGGAGCUUCCCUAUAGUCCUCAUGUGGCUCAAUCUGUGACCCAACAGGAAUGUGAGUCAGUAAGUGAAACUGUUGACAUCUGCACCAUUGUGAAUGCACUUCUUCAAUUUUUUUUUUUUUUUUUCUGAGACAAAGUCUUGCUCUAUUGCCUAGGCUGGAGUGCAGUGACACGAUCUCGGCUCACCGCAACCUCUGCCUCCCGGGUUCAAGCAAUUCUCCUGCCUCAGCCUCCUGAGCAGCUGGGAUUAUAGGCGUUUGCCACCACGCCCAGCUAAUUUUUGUAUUUUUAGUAGAGACAGGGUUUCACCAUGUUGGCCAGUCUGGUCUCGAACUCCUGACCUCGUGAUCUGCCCACCUCGGCCUCCCAAAGUGCUGGAAUUACAGGCAUGAGCCACUGUGCCCCGCCAUGAAUGCACUUCUUUAGUGCCCUUACUACCUGUGCCCGGUCCUGCACGCAGGGCCACUGCCUAUUAGAAUAGAAGGCACGGUGUCUAUGACCCAUCAUACUUAUAGGAGCCCAUGAUAAUGUUCUAGCUUUAAUUUAUUUUAAAGUCAGAAGAAAAAGAGAAUACAACAAUGAUGAAUAUGUAAUAAUGAAUCCAGCCUCGUCUAUCUUCAUGUCUAUACCAAGGCAAUGUAAGACUUAAUUUUAAUAUUUGUAUAGAGCAUUGGUCCAUGAAAGCAAAUGUGCAUAUGUCCUAGGGAAGUCACAGUGGGCCCUGCUUCCAUGGCCUCCCCUAAGUGUCCAGUGACAUUUCUCCUUACUGUGGCAUUCCUUUUCCGAGACACCAACUAUUUCUUCCAAAUUUUUGUCUUCCUUGGCUUUCUUUACCUUCACAACUCCCAUUUCCUCAGCUAUAUAAUCUCACUAAGCUGAAUGACAAAUGAAUUAUGAAAUUAAUAGACCCUCAGUGCUAGUGACUGAGGUGUCCCCAGUGGCCUCCACCAAGUUAAGAUCCUCUGGAAUUUCUCCGGAUCUUCGAGGCAAGACUCUUACUCCAGUGUCAUCUUCGUCCAUCUGAAGCCCACCUCUAAGGAACCCAACAUAACUUCACUUUAGUUUAUUCACAAACAUGACGUUCCAUUGGAUCAACUGUGGCAGGAUCUCAGGGUUGAGGAGAAAGAUGACUAAUCAAACAGAGCCAAGUUUGGAGGGGAGUUUAGAAACAGGGCGAAAUAUCAUUUUAGUUAGGAAAAUACUCAGUCUCCAAAACACAUCUGAAAGGUCCCCCUUCUUUUUGUAAAACCAUACCAGGCUUCCAAGAAAAGACAUUUUCAAUGAGAAAAAUGUGAAAGCAACCUUUCUAUACUCACAGGCCUUAAGUAUAAUCUGUGAUCUGCCUCAUGAGACUGUGAAUGUCUCCUCUUACUCAUCUCUGUGGCCCUAUGUUAAUACAGCUCCUGGUGCAUUUAACUGCUUAGAAAGUACUCUUUAAUGACACUCAAUUAAAAAGAACGAAUUAUAAAAAAGAAAGCCCUUUUUGCCAUUAAGGUAACAUAUUUUCAGGUUCCAGAGAUAAGGGCAUGUAUGUCUUUGGGGGCCAUUACUGAGCCUACUACACUAGUUUUGUAAGUAAAUUUAGAGCAACUAAACUUUAGUUUUCUAAUUUUUGUAAUAGAAAGAAUUCUAUGUCCAGCCACUGGAUCCUGAAACUCUAGACUUUUAUCUCAGAUAUCAAGAGGAAAACCACAUGAAUAAAUACCUGUUUCUUUAAAGCUGAUGUAAUCUUGACCCUAUUGUAUUUCCUCCUUCUGGAUACAUGCCCUUCAUUAUUUUAUUCUAAAAUUUAUUCUCAGGAUCUGUUGACAUUGUCUUUUGUUGUUCAUAUGGAAAACUCAAGCUUUUCAGUUUGCCAACAUUCUCAACUCUUCAGAAUUUCUACUGAUGUCUAGAUUAUACUUCAGGCAAUGGAUCCCAUGUUUACUACUUAAACGUGCUUCAUCUAUGAAACCUUCAGUUGGACACAUCUUAUAUUAAUGAAGUCUCUUAACUCUGCAGUUUCUACUAUACCUUGAUUUAUCAAGUUCUUGAUUCAUCAAGAGUUGUCAUUAGGUCUCUCUUCUUUCCUCUUUGCAUUCUUUCAAUACCCAUAGAAGUUUACGUAUGAAAAUUAGGCUAAAUAAUAUACUAAAUUGAAAUUGAUCAGACUCCACUUAUUCUACACAAGUAAGUUUGGAAACAUCUAAUUUAAAGAAAAGCACUUUCUCACUAUGGUUUCAGCAGUCAAGAUGAUUGCCUUUCCAACAUCAGUUUUACUUUAAAUAAUUUGUUUAGGUCAGCCAUGCUAAUUUCAUUGUGGUUGGCAUAGGAGUCACUGUGGAUAAAGAGUUGUGACCCAGCCUUAGCCAACGCCACAUAAGAAGCACUGUGCUGGGUACUUCUAGGAGAGUUUCUCUCACUUCUAAGAAGGAGCCUUUGAAGAGAGGUUGCUUCUCUUCUUCAAGGGGAUAUUGUCCCAUUGCAAGGUGAGGUGUGAAAUUGCUGUGGAGUCUCCACCCAGCCUGAGGACGACAUCAAUACACAGAAGAAGAAAAAGGAGAAGAUGAGAGAAAUUCUGCACUCUCAUGGAUGACACCCAGAGUUUACCCUCCCUCUGGACUUCUUGUUAUGGGACUAACACAUUUUUGUGGAUUUUAAACCAAUUUGAAUUACUUUUUUUGCACCUGCCUGUACUCUAAUCCAAACAACCAUCCAAGUUAAUAAUUUUCUCUUUACAAUGCACCCUGCAUUUUGUACCUAUACAAGAGUGGUCAGAAUGUGUGAAAACUGCUGAGUCAUCCUGACAGCAUGGCUCCAGUAGAUUCUAGGGGUCGGCUAUAGUAUUGAGUGAUAUUAAAAUAACAAAUAAUGCACAAAAGGCAUGGAUCUAAAAAAGUCUUUAGGAAUCUUCACUCACUGAGAGCUCAUAUUCAGGACACAGUUUCUUCUUCAAAUCACCUUGGACAAGCCAUUAUGUUAAGCCUUUUUCAUUUGUUGCUCUCCCAUAUCCCUAUUUAGACUUUGAUAUCUGAAGGUGGAAACCAUCCCUUUUCCCUCUGGAGCUGGAGUGAUGUUCACGGAAGGCAAAGCAGCUGGGCCUGAAUGGGGCUAAGCUCUGGGAGCCAUGAGUGUCUCCACAGAAACAGAGCAGGACACCCGGAGGGACCACCCAAAACCUUGGGUCCGUUUGUGAGGCCAUCAGAUCCUCAGCUGGCAUUUGACAAGGAGGAUCAAGGUUGCAACAGCCUAAAGAAGUUUAAUUUCAAGAAAACAGGCUGAAAGAAUGAGAGUUGUGACCAACUCAGUAUACCACUGGAGGCUAUAUGAGCAAACAGAAAACUGUUCUUAUGAAAGCAGGAUGUUGGAAAACUGAUAACUGUGUCUGCCGCCAGAAGGGGUGCUGAGGGCAGUCAGGCCUCAUGCACAGUGUUCCUUGUGAUUAUCUAUAGGAACAUCUGAAGCCUGUUGUACAAAGAAAGCAAUUAUGUGGACCUGUGAUAAAUCAAGCAGUGGACCAACCAUUAGCUCUCCCUCCCUGCUCUUUCUACCUAACAAAUAUGAAAGACUGUAGAAACUCAGGGCUGCCUUUGCUCUCUAGAAGCAAGGAGCCCCUGACCCCCUCUUUCAAAAUAGGUCUUUUCGUCUUUGUCUUUACUUCUGCAUUCGACCCCCUUCAUUGACCCUGUAGAAACUGUCAGUGACAUUCUCUUUUCCCUUGUAUUUUCUAAAUUUUCUAUAAUUUGCAUGUUAUUUUAAUAAUUAGUGAGGGCAUCAAAGAAGUGGAUUUACAAUGGUGCAAACAUUGGCAGUUUCAGUUAGGAACUCAUAUUCCUGUUGGGUCAGAGAUUGAGCCCUGGAGGAAACCUCUGGUCUGAGGGCUACAGGGAAGCUCCUGUUUCAUGCCUAUUCCUGAAAUUAGGCCUGUCCCUCUGAUUUAGGGAAGAUUUAUUCCUCUGUUUGUCUGCAUACUACAGAAACAGCCUGUGAAAGAAUCUGCAGGCAUCACUUACAAUUGUAACUUAGCAUAUUGGAAAUUUCUGUUGAGGACAUCAAUGGCUUUCAUGUCCUCUGGAGUCUACUCAACAAUUUUUCUUCAAAGUCUAAAGGAGAUUUUUUCUUCCAGCAUAAUAUUCCGUGCAGUGCAGAAAGUCUUUUCUUUUGCCUUUUGGUAAAUGGCCUAAGAGAUUUUACAGUUUAUUGAGAGAAUUCCUAUGCCAUUAUCAUUAAGUUUUGGUUUGCUUAGAAUGUAAAAAAAACUGAGAUUAGAACAAAUUUUUAAAAAAGUAAGGUUAUUACAUCUGUAUAUCUUUCUGUAUGUGCUUUUAAAGUCCUUGUGACAUUGAGUUACAGGGCUUUGACUCCUGGAUCUAUAAAGGACACCAAGUCCUGCUACAUCUUAAACACUGACAACAAUUAAAGCCUCAUCUUCAGGCGCAGUAGAAGAUGCCAAUCAAAAUAAAUUGCAUUCCUGAGACAUAGGGCCAGAAAUAAAAGCUAUUCAACUCCUCAAGGCCCCAGGACUAUUGUGGAAGAGGUGGGUGUGUGAGAUUGAAAGGGCCAAUUUUGAGAGACAAAAUAAGUUCAAUUUCUCUGUAAAUUAAUCAUUAAUGUCAAAGGCACACUGAUGCAAGACAAGAAUAUGGCCCCCUGUGACAGAUUAACAAGGUUUUAGUGAAGCAUUAACUGACUCCUUAAUAAAGGUUAUAAAGGUUAUAAAAGGCUUAAGAAAGUUAUAUCCUAUUGUCAAGAUUAAAAGUUCAUAAAUUGUUAAUAAAAUUUUGAAAAACAGAUUUAAUUGGUAUCACACUGUUUUUAUUAGGGCUUAUAGUUUGGAAAAUUAAGUCUUCUCUCUCAAAGAAAAAAGGUUUUUGCCUUUUUUUGGAAUCCUUGUGUUAUCACUUUGGUUAAAUGAAUGACUUAUUUUACAAUGACCUGUAAUAUCAAGUGUUUUAAACCAUUGAUAUUUGACAAACUUUCCAAAUCAAAUUAUAAAUUAUUUCUUUUUCAGACCUAAUUAAUCCUUUAAGAUAUUAGGUUCCCUAAAAUCUAAAAAUGAAAUUUGGCUCACUUGGUGUAAAAAUUAUACAGGAAGUAUUGUCAAACAUGAAAUGGUGUUUGGUUAUCUUUGGGCUGUAUUUGUAUAAAUAUGUAAUUGGCAUGUGUUCCAAAAUUAUGGGAAACUCAUAUAACUCUGAUAUAACUUAGUAUACAUUAUCAGUAAUAAUCAUUGUCAUGUUAAAUUAUGGUGUGCCACAGAGGUAACAAAUUUCCCUGUCAAUUGUGUUUUUGACUAUGGCUGCUCUAAAACUUUUUGUCAUCCACAGACAAUUGUUUCUUGUUUUGCUCCUCUUUAGAAGGUGGUUUAUAGAACUAUAAUACUCUAACAGGUGCUCUUGAAUGCAGGUUUCUGAUAACUUUGAAGACUGUGACAUCAGAAUAGAGGAAAAACUUUGAAAACUCAUGGAGAGCUGAAAUGUUCAUGAAUAUCAAGCAGAGCAGGAAUUAGCUGCAUGAACUGAACUAAUAGAAGACUGAAGAAUCAAACUUGACUUAUGGAGACAAUAAAAGCCCCUUGGGAAAACUGGCCUCAUACUUUGUCUACGCAGUGCCUGUACAGGGUUCCUGAUCUGUGGUAAGUAAAAAAUGUAACUUUCUGACAGGUCCAGGAGCCCCAAGUUUAUCUUGGGAUCUCAAGAGGAGAGAAAUUCACCCACGCAUAGGUGUUUGAUGGUACAAAUCCAUGGCUGGGUUUCACUUCAAAAAAAUAUUAUCUGAGAUUCCUUCUGUGGAACAAAGUUCCAUCAAAGCCAAUUUAAAAGCCUAUGUAAAAAAAUAAUUAUUCUUGCUGUACUGUAUACAAAUAAUCAGGCCAAGUAUAAUAAAGCAAAUCAGUCCUACC
Molecule: long non-coding RNA, 6806 nt
Filed under: Homo sapiens (human)
Lineage: Eukaryota; Metazoa; Chordata; Mammalia; Primates; Hominidae
Description: non-protein coding LINC02561:16
Source: RNAcentral